AUUGAACGCUGGCGGCAGGCCUAACACAUGCAAGUCGAACGGUAACAGGAAGACGCUUGCUUCUUUGCUGCCGAGUGGCGGACGGGUGAGUAAUGUCUGGGAAACUGCCUGAUGGAGGGGGAUAACUACUGGAAACGGUAGCUAAUACCGCAUAACGUCGCAAGACCAAAGAGGGGGACCUUCGGGCCUCUUGCCAUCGGAUGUGCCCAGAUGGGAUUAGCUAGUAGGUGGGGUAACGGCUCACCUAGGCGACGAUCCCUAGCUGGUCUGAGAGGAUGACCAGCCACACUGGAACUGAGACACGGUCCAGACUCCUACGGGAGGCAGCAGUGGGGAAUAUUGCACAAUGGGCGCAAGCCUGAUGCAGCCAUGCCGCGUGUAUGAAGAAGGCCUUCGGGUUGUAAAGUACUUUCAGCGGGGAGGAAGGGAGUAAAGUUAAUACCUUUGCUCAUUGACGUUACCCGCAGAAGAAGCACCGGCUAACUCCGUG
This 490-nucleotide ribosomal RNA is filed under the name uncultured bacterium. RNAcentral's name for it is "partial 16S ribosomal RNA". It matches the Rfam family "Bacterial small subunit ribosomal RNA", at positions 30 to 507 of the family's 1533-position model. The record is from RNAcentral.